GAAACAUCUAUUUUAAAGCUUCUAACUUUAAUAAUAAGCGAAAAUAUAAACGUUUAUGUUUCU
RNAcentral lists this transfer RNA (63 nucleotides) under Brasilocerus sp. 2 DTA-2012. Its description in RNAcentral is "tRNA-Ser". The record is from RNAcentral. Lineage: Eukaryota; Metazoa; Arthropoda; Insecta; Coleoptera; Phengodidae.